UAAUACGGAGGGUGCAAGCGUUAUCCGGAUUCACUGGGUUUAAAGGGAGCGCAGGAGGGCAGGGAAGUCAGUGGUGAAAUCCCGGGGCUUAACCCCGGAACUGCCGUUGAUACUCUCUGUCUUGAAUGCCGUGGAGAGGAGCGGAAUAUGUCAUGUAGCGGUGAAAUGCUUAGAGAUGACAUAGAACACCAAUUGCGAAGGCAGCUCCUUACACGGAACAUUGACUCUGAGGCUCGAAAGCGUGGGGAUCAAACAGGAUUAGAUACCCUGGUAGUCCACGCCCUAAACGAUGGAUACUCGACGUGCGCGAUACACGGUGCGCGUCUGAGCGAAAGCAUUAAGUAUCCCACCUGGGAAGUACGACCGCAAGGUU
Molecule: ribosomal RNA, 373 nt
Filed under: uncultured bacterium
Lineage: Bacteria
Description: bacterial SSU rRNA
Rfam family: Bacterial small subunit ribosomal RNA
Source: RNAcentral